CCUGCCCCUAUGUAUUGUAAGUGUGGCUGGUGUGCCACAUAGGCAUAGUAGGUGCCAGAGAAGAGAAACAUCAUGUCUACACUCAGUGUUCUAACCUAUGAACAUCUGAAUCCCCAGUAACCUAACAUC
Molecule: small nucleolar RNA, 129 nt
Organism: Grammomys surdaster
Lineage: Eukaryota; Metazoa; Chordata; Mammalia; Rodentia; Muridae
Product: small nucleolar RNA SNORA17
Exons: 1
Source: RefSeq, a predicted model, not a curated record